This 468-nucleotide ribosomal RNA is filed under the name uncultured bacterium. Its description in RNAcentral is "partial 16S ribosomal RNA". It matches the Rfam family "Bacterial small subunit ribosomal RNA", at positions 28 to 507 of the family's 1533-position model. The record is from RNAcentral.
GACGAACGCUGGCGGCGUGCUUAACACAUGCAAGUCGAACGGAAAGGCCCUGCUUUUGUGGGGUGCUCGAGUGGCGAACGGGUGAGUAACACGUGAGUAACCUGCCCUUGACUUUGGGAUAACUUCAGGAAACUGGGGCUAAUACCGGAUAGGAGCUCCUGCUGCAUGGUGGUGGUUGGAGAGUUUCGGCGGUUGGGGAUGGACUCGCGGCUUAUCAGCUUGUUGGUGGGGUAGUGGCUUACCAAGGCUUUGACGGGUAGCCGGCCUGAGAGGGUGACCGGCCACAUUGGGACUGAGAUACGGCCCAGACUCCUACGGGAGGCAGCAGUGGGGAAUAUUGCACAAUGGGCGGAAGCCUGAUGCAGCAACGCCGCGUGCGGGAUGACGGCCUUCGGGUUGUAAACCGCUUUCGCCUGUGACGAAGCGUGAGUGACGGUAAUGGGUAAAGAAGCACCGGCUAACUACGUG